ACUCCUACGGGGAGGCAGCAGUGGGGGAAUAUUGCACAAUGGGGCGCAAGCCUGAUGCAGCCAUGCCGCGUGUAUGAAGAAGGGCCUUUCGGGGUUUGAUGAAAAGUCACUUUUUCAGUCAGGUGGAGGAAGGUGGAUAUGUUAAUAGCAUAUUAUUUGACGUUAGCUGCAGAAGAAGCACCGGCUAACUCCGUGCCAGCAGCCGCGGUAAUACGGAGGGUGCGAGCGUUAAUCGGAAUUACUGGGGCGUAAAGCGCAUGCAGGUGGUUUGUUAAGUCAGAUGUGAAAGCCCGGGGCUCAACCUCGGAAUUGCAUUUGAAACUGGCAAAGCUAGAGUACUGUAGAGGGGGGGUAGAA
RNAcentral lists this ribosomal RNA (357 nucleotides) under uncultured bacterium. RNAcentral's name for it is "bacterial SSU rRNA". It matches the Rfam family "Bacterial small subunit ribosomal RNA", at positions 335 to 666 of the family's 1533-position model. The record is from RNAcentral.